GCCCCUGUAGUUUAAUGGAUAGAAUGCAAGCUUCCGGAGCUUGUGAUCGAGGUUCGAUUCCUCGUAGGGGCACCA
RNAcentral lists this transfer RNA (75 nucleotides) under Candidatus Kaiserbacteria bacterium RIFCSPHIGHO2_02_FULL_49_11. Its description in RNAcentral is "tRNA-Arg". It matches the Rfam family "tRNA". From Rfam's summary of the family: Transfer RNA (tRNA) molecules are approximately 80 nucleotides in length. Their secondary structure includes four short double-helical elements and three loops (D, anti-codon, and T loops). Further hydrogen bonds mediate the characteristic L-shaped molecular structure. tRNAs have two regions of fundamental functional importance: the anti-codon, which is responsible for specific mRNA codon recognition, and the 3' end, to which the tRNAs corresponding amino acid is attached (by aminoacyl-tRNA synthetases). tRNAs cope with the degeneracy of the genetic code in two manners: having more than one tRNA (with a specific anti-codon) for a particular amino acid; and 'wobble' base-pairing, i.e. permitting non-standard base-pairing at the 3rd anti-codon position. Lineage: Bacteria; Candidatus Kaiseribacteriota. The record is from RNAcentral.